Long non-coding RNA from Oncorhynchus tshawytscha (Chinook salmon), 814 nucleotides. NCBI's taxonomy places the organism in Eukaryota, Metazoa, Chordata, Actinopteri, Salmoniformes, Salmonidae. The record is from Ensembl.
GUGCAGUGGAAAGAGAAGCGAAUGGAUAGAUAGAAAGGGGUGUGGAGAGGAGACAUAAGAGAAUGAUAGAUAGAAAGGGGGUGUGGAGAGGAGACAUAAGAUAAUGAUAGAUAGAGGGGGGGGUGUGGAGAGGAGACAUAAGAGAAUGAUAGAUAGAGGGGGGGGUGUGGAGAGGAGACAGAAGAGAAUGAUAGAUAGAGGGGGGGUGUGGAGAGGAGACAUAAGAGAAUGAUAGAUAGAGAGGGGGUGUGGAGAGGAGACAGAAGAGAAUGAUAGAUAGAGAGGGGGUGUGGAGAGGAGACAGAAGAGAAUGAUAGAUAGAGAGGGGGUGUGGAGAGGAGACAUAAGAGAAUGAUAGAUAGAGAGGGGGUGUGGAGAGGAGACAUAAGAGAAUGAUAGAUAGAGAGGGGGUGUGGAGAGGAGACAGAAGAGAAUGAUAGAGAGGGGGUGUGGAGAGGAGACAUAAGAGAAUGAUAGAUAGAGAGGGGGUGUGGAGAGGAGACAUAAGAGAAUGAUAGAUAGAGAGGGGGUGUGGAGAGGAGACAUAAGAGAAUGAUAGAUAGAGAGGGGUGUGGAGAGGAGACAUAAGAGAAUGAUAGAUAGAGAGGGGGUGUGGAGAGGAGACAUAAGAGAAUGAUAGAUAGAGAGGGGGUGUGGAGAGGAGACAGAAGAGAAUGAUAGAUAGAGAGGGGGUGUGGAGAGGAGACAGAAGAGAAUGAUAGAUAGAGAGGGGGUGUGGAGAGGAGACAUAAGAGAAUGAUAGAUAGAGAGGGGGUGUGGAGAGGAGACAUAAGAGAAUGAUAGAUAGAGAGGG